AGCAUGUGGUUUAAUUCGAUGCAACGCGAAGAACCUUACCUGGUCUUGACAUCCACAGAACUUAGCAGAGAUGGAUUGGUGCCUUCGGGAACUGUGAGACAGGUGCUGCAUGGCUGUCGUCAGCUCGUGUUGUGAAAUGUUGGGUUAAGUCCCGCAACGAGCGCAACCCUUAUCCUUUGUUGCCAGCGGUUCGGCCGGGAACUCAAAGGAGACUGCCAGUGAUAAACUGGAGGAAGGUGGGGAUGACGUCAAGUCAUCAUGGCCCUUACGACCAGGGCUACACACGUGCUACAAUGGCGCAUACAAAGAGAAGCGACCUCGCGAGAGCAAGCGGACCUCAUAAAGUGCGUCGUAGUCCGGAUUGGAGUCUGCAACUCGACUCCAUGAAGUCGGAAUCGCUAGUAAUCGUAGAUCAGAAUGCUACGGUGAAUACGUUCCCGGGCCUUGUACACACCGCCCGUCACACCAUGGGAGUGGGUUGCAAAAGAAG
This 490-nucleotide ribosomal RNA is filed under the name Enterobacter sp. RNAcentral's name for it is "bacterial SSU rRNA". It matches the Rfam family "Bacterial small subunit ribosomal RNA", at positions 936 to 1426 of the family's 1533-position model. Lineage: Bacteria; Pseudomonadati; Pseudomonadota; Gammaproteobacteria; Enterobacterales; Enterobacteriaceae. The record is from RNAcentral.